GUGGGGAAUAUUGGACAAUGGGCGCAAGACUGAUCCAGCCAUACCGCGUGGGUGAAGAAGGCCUUCGGGUUGUAAAGCCCUUUUGUUGGGAAAGAAAUCCUGUCGGUUAAUACCUGGCGGGGAUGACGGUACCCAAAGAAUAAGCACCGGCUAACUUCGUGCCAGCAGCCGCGGUAAUACGAAGGGUGCAAGCGUUACUCGGAAUUACUGGGCGUAAAGCGUGCGUAGGUGGUGGUUUAAGUCCGUUGUGAAAGCCCUGGGCUCAACCUGGGAAUUGCAGUGGAUACUGGAUCACUAGAGUGUGGUAGAGGGAUGCGGAAUUUCUGGUGUAGCAGUGAAAUGCGUAGAGAUCAGAAGGAACAUCCGUGGCGAAGGCGGCAUCCUGGGCCAACACUGACACUGAGGCACGAAAGCGUGGGGAGCAAACAGGAUUAGAUACCCUAGUAGUCC
RNAcentral lists this ribosomal RNA (450 nucleotides) under uncultured bacterium. RNAcentral describes it as "partial 16S ribosomal RNA". It matches the Rfam family "Bacterial small subunit ribosomal RNA", at positions 354 to 796 of the family's 1533-position model. The record is from RNAcentral.